Molecule: transfer RNA, 104 nt
Rfam family: tRNA
About the family: Transfer RNA (tRNA) molecules are approximately 80 nucleotides in length. Their secondary structure includes four short double-helical elements and three loops (D, anti-codon, and T loops).
Source: Rfam
GGCAAGGUGGCCGAGCGGUCCAAGGCGCCACGUUAAGGAAUCCAUCCUUAAUCUUGAAAUCCGUGGUCUCGAAAGGGGCGUGAGUUCGAAUCUCACCCUUGUCA